Drosophila elegans is the source of this 5222-nucleotide long non-coding RNA. RefSeq lists it as uncharacterized. The transcript is spliced from 8 exons. Lineage: Eukaryota; Metazoa; Arthropoda; Insecta; Diptera; Drosophilidae. The record is from RefSeq and is a predicted model, not a curated record.
AACCAUUACUAUAUGUCAAAGAACUAAAAAAAAAAUGAAAAACAGCAAAGUUAUAAUUUUUUUUAUUUAUUCUUCCGAUUAUUCCUACGGUAGCUAUAUACUAUAGUCGUCCGAUCCAGCUCGUUCCGACUUAUAUACUACCUGCAAUAGAAAGACAAAUUUUGGGAAAGUUUCAUGCAGAUAGCUUUAAAACUGAUAGUUUAGUUUGCUUAGAAACGGACAGACGGACAGGGAUAGAUCGACUCUCCAAGUGAUGCUGAUGCAAGAAUAUAUACACUUAAAGGGUCGGAAAAGUAUCCACUGGGUCUGCGCAUUGUCUUCAGACUUUACGAGGCUACGUUUGUACAUCGAAACAUCUGUUAAGAGUAUGAAUAAAUUUAAUUUGAAAAAAAAAACUUAUUACAAAAGUCAAAAAUGGAAGAUAUUGAUUGAUUCUCAUGGUGAAGAUUUCGGCUGUACUUCCAAAAAUCGUCAACGGCCGAUCAUUUUAAAAAUUUCAGGAUCCAUGUAUUUUGGGGUUCUGAUUACGAAAAAAUAAAUCUAAGUUUGCGAAAAAUACCUUUUUCUUUGAAAAUAACGGUAAAAACAGUUAUUUUUGUUUUUUUUUUUUGCAAUAAUCGCGCUGUUUCUUUUCCAUUGUCCGUUCUUUCUUCAAUCCCGUCCUCUAUUCCCUCACCAUUCACCAGAUCUGCAAGCAGGCAUAAUAAACAGAAAGUAAUACCAAAAAUGUAACAUUUUUUAACGAAAAUGUACCAAAAACUAAGCUACAGAAUAUUAAUUAUGUAGAACAAAAUUAAAAACAAUAAUAAAAACCAUAGUCAAAAAACGAAAAUAAAAUUUCAAAAACCAUAAGGUUCAUUUAAUAAAAUAAAAUAUGAUGUUUAGUCAAGUGCACACUGAUUUUAUGUCAGAGAAAUAUAAAAUGUUAUCAAGCAGGAAGCGUUAACUACUUGAAAACCUUAGAGAUGAGCAAUUAAGCGAUAGUUUGGCAAAAUAUCGAUAAAAGUUUGGUGAUGCCAAGCCGGUUCAAUAAUGGAGCGCUCAUUUCAAAAUGACUGUUUCAAGGCAAACGUUUUCUGUAUUUUUUCGUAAACUAUUAGCUUGACGCAAAAAAGUCACUAAAUUAAUGUGUGUUUCAACAAGACCUCAAACUUUUAUUAAACGGUUUUUUUAAUAAAGCUUACAUUAUAUCACUCUGCUACUGUCUUAUCUUCGUGUCGGACACUGCUGUUAUUACUGCUAGAUCUCCUUACCCGCUCACCGUUAACAUCUCUCUUAAAUUUCGAUUUUCCUAACCCCAUCCUAAUUAUACCAUUCCCACUGUUGACAUAUACAAGGUCUUUGAAUUCCCAACCUUCAUCCUCCAAUGAUGUACAAGCACCUAAUCAACCCACUUCACUGCUGAUUUCGCCGCAACUGGGAAUACUAUGUUAUUAAAAUCCAAACCCUCAUCUACCAAUAAUGUAAAGCUGUAAAAACCUUCGAUAUUUUCGAUUGUGAUAGUUUGAACCAUCGAUAAUAUUGAUACUAUCGACUUAAAAACAUUUUUUAUAUGUUUUAUUGUUUUCAUAGUUCAUUGUACUACCGUUUCAAUUUAUUUUAAUUAAUAUUAUGAAUUCAAACAAAAGACAACAAUAAUAUUCGGCCUUUGGGAAGUUAAGGAAUGUUAGUAACAUUAUUAAAGUAAAUAAAUAAAAAAAUGAGAUCCAUUCAUUGGAAAGUAAAUAAAUCAUUAUGGACGACAGUACAUGGAGUGACGAUGCGCACCAAAAAAUCUGCUGCGAUGGUCGUGACGAGUAAUACGCCAAUUGAAAGCAAUACUUAAGGCCGAACUCAGACCGUCGCUCAGAUGAGAAGUGGUCAAAGCGACAAUGGAAGGGACAUUUUUGGACGCUUAAAAUUUCAAGUGUUUGGCAAAUAUCGCCACGGAUGUGAAUUACACGGCCCCAUAUUGAAGGCGUUUGCCAACCGGGUCAACUUAUCCUGAGGAGCUCCAAGGGAAAAGAAGGGACGUACUGAAAAGACGUAGUUGGACGUGCGGCUGGAGUGCGGGACUAAUGCCUCUCAUUCCAGAUUAGAUUUCGCAAGUUCAACGUUGGUUAUUGUCGAAGCUGAAGUCAGAAGAAGCGACCGCUAGCGGCCAGGACUAGCUCAGGCUCUGCGCCAGAGGGCCCGGAGACAGUGCGUCGGUGGUCCAGAGAUGACCACGUGGUCAGCGCGGGUAUUCGUUCCCGGAACGGUCUCACCGAGUGAAUCUCCGUAUGUGGCCGUCUCGGAGGCCGUUGCUGGAGCUGCUGACGCUGGAUGCUGCUGCUGCUGCUGAUCUGAUCGCUGCUGCAGAUCGCUGCUGCAGUUGCUACGGAUCACUGCUGCUGCCACGGAUCACGGCUGCUGCUGGUGGACGACGUGGUCUUCACGACCAGGUUAGGUCCGCCAGCAACUUAAGCACAAAAAAUCGCUGGGACGAAAUUGCGGCGAUACACUUCCUGACCUGGCUUCCCAAGGAAAGUAUGAGCCCUUUCGUCGUACCGCAGCCGACUCCGAUCGUAUGUAUUUUCGAGGUUCUUCUGCACCUUGUCAUGCAUCACUUGGAGUUUAUCAGCCGUUCCCAACCCCGUCAUUUCGUGAUCACACAGCGACUUCAACUUCCUUGCCAACUUGUAGCUGGCUCCGUUCAGAAACAUGUGUCGUCCGAAUACGGCGAAGAACGGAGCUUCUCCAGUUGCUGAAUGAACCGCGUUGCGGAUGGCCACCUCAAUCUCCGGAAGAUACGCGUCCCAUUCUCGAUGGUCUUCUUCAAAAUAGUUUCGGAUCGCCGCCAACAUGCUUUGGUUUACCCUUUCCGCUGCGUUGCUUUGCGGAGAGUGGACUGGCGUUUUGAUGUGCCUAAUGCCAAAGCUUUCCAUCGCCUCCUCGAAGAUGUUGGACGUAAACUGGCGGCCGUUGUCCGAAUGCACCAUUUCUGGAACCCCAAACUUGUAGAAAACCUCGUGAAUGAGGAACUCCACUACAUUUGAGGCCGAUGCCUCUUGCAUGGCUUUCAGAAAAGUGUAUUUGGAGAAGUGAUCCACCACAAUGAAGAUGUAGGCCUGUCCCUUCAUCGACAUAGGAUAUUUCCCCAGGAAAUCGAUGUACAGCUUCUGAAAUGGCUGCUCAGUCUGGACUCUCUCACCGAUACAAACUUGCAUCCGCAAAUUCGGGGAUUUCGUCUCCUUACAGACUUCACACCUGCGUAUGGACUCCCGGACUUGCAGUGCCAUGCCAGGCCAGUAAAACUGCCGCCGUAGGUUUUCCAGAGUUUUUCCCAUUCCGACAUGAGCUGGCGUUGGAUCCGAAUGUGCAUCAAUUAUGCUGUGAGUCAGACUCUGAGGAAUCCACAACUUCUAUUCGAAGCCUUCCACCUCGUCAUCCAGAUUUGCCGAAGAGACUCUCUUGAAGAUGAGACCGUCCACUAUCCUCAAGUCAGCAAACUCAGUGGUCUCGAAGCCGAGUAACUCUGACUGGUCCAGUGUUAGCUCUUCAACACAACGCGAAAGUAUAUCUGCCACGACGUUCUCGCUUCCUUUCCUGUGUUCGAUGUUGAAGUGAUAUCCCUGGAGUUGCAAUGACCACCGAGCCAGCCGACCCGAAAGGUCUUUUAUGGACAUAAGCCACUUCAAGCUGGCAUGAUCCGUGAUGCACGUAAACGGCAUUCCUGCCACAUACGGCCGGAACUUUCGAAUGGCCAGCAGGGCUGCGAGGCACUCUUUUUGGGUGACGGUGUAGUGCACUUGGUGACAAUUCAUCUUGGCCGAGAAGAACUCUAUGGGUUGUUCCUGGCCGUCUUCAUCCCGCUGGAACAACACUGCACCGACUCCGAUCUGGGAUGCAUCGCACUGGAUGAAAAAGUGCCGCUUGAAGUCCGCAUAUACCAAAACUGGCGCAGUAGUUAGGGCCAUUUUCAAGGACUCUACUGCCAGCUGUGCUUCUGGACUCAAGGAAAACUUCUUAUUUCCCGUCUUCUUCAAGGAUUCCGUGAGCGGAGCUGCCAACGUCGCGGAGUUCUUUAUAAACCGACGGUACCAACCAGCGGUUCCAAGAAAGGCUCUCACUUCUUUCAUGAUCCUUGGCUCAGGCAUCCGCCUAAUAGCUGCUACACGCCCUGGAUCCAUCCGCAAACGUCCUCCACCCACUAUGAAGCCGAGGCAUUCAGCGACUCGGCGAAGAUACUUCAUGGGCGUUCUCAUGUCUGGCGCUAGUAUUAGCAGGUCAUCCAAGUAGACAACUACAUUCGAGCGGAUCUUAGCUGGAAUUACUCGGUCCAUGAGUCUCACCAGCCUCUGUGAUGCGUUACAGUGUCCGAAAGGCCUCACGUGGUAAAGAGGCCGACCAGGAAUCGUAAAGCCUUUGUAUUCUUUGCUGCUCGUGUCCAACUCAAUCUGGCAAAAAGCGAACUUCAAAUCCACUCUGGAAAUGUAGUACAUUUGGUCGAUUCUGGACAGGAUGCCGUCUAUGCUGGGCAACGGACCUUGACACCACGGUGGUGCGGUUGUUCCAGGGGCUUUUGAUUUCCUCGAUGACUCCGAGCGCUAGCAUCUUGUCGACCUCGUCCUCGACCACCUUCUGCUUCGCGGGAGACAUCGGAUAGGGUCGAUCCUUGAAAACAUCAGCUCAAUAGUGUGCUUCUCCAGACUGGUGGUACCUAAGCCAUCCCUCUCGAAAGUCAAGAACUGCUGCUUGAUCUCCUCUAGCUCUUGUUCCUCGGCUUCGGAAAGCGUCCAGGACUCGGGAUCGGCUAUUUCCUCAUCGUCAUCCUCGACCUCAGCGUAGUGCUCCAUCCUUCGGGAUCGAUGUGGCCUAUAAUUGCUGGGGCCAGUCCGAAUGCUUGCCAAAAAUCCACACCAAAAUAGCUGGCUGCUCCAGGUUAGGACAUAAAUAGAAGAGAAUGUGCUCUGUCCGUCCUCGGUAUUCCACCGGUAGCUUGACCCGUCCUAUAAUUGACCGAUCCUCUCCAGACGCCGUUCGGACUGCUGAUAAGUACUUCUGAACGGGCACAUCCAAUGCCUCAACCAGCUCUCUGCCACCUUUACGAAGCAGACUAACUCUCGCUCCAGUGUCCAACAACCCCGUCAGUUGCUUCGUUAGGACUUGGCCUGCAGUGAAUGGUCUGGGAUCGCGCUGUAAUUCUCUCGGCACUUAGCUCCCUUACACUGUGUGCGAUCGUUGAUUUUUUAUUACAUUAU